CCUACGGGGGGCAGCAGUGGGGAAUAUUGCACAAUGGGGGAAACCCUGAUGCAGCGACGCCGCGUGAGUGAAGAAGUAUUUCGGUAUGUAAAGCUCUAUCAGCAGGGAAGAAAAUGACGGUACCUGACUAAGAAGCCCCGGCUAACUACGUGCCAGCAGCCGCGGUAAUACGUAGGGGGCAAGCGUUAUCCGGAUUUACUGGGUGUAAAGGGAGCGUAGACGGCAGAGCAAGUCUGAAGUGAAAGCCCGCGGCCCAACUGCGGGACUGCUUUGGAAACUGCCCGGCUAGAGUGCUGGAGAGGUAAGCGGAAUUCCUAGUGUAGCGGUGAAAUGCUUAGAUAUUGCGCAGAACUCCGAUUGCGAAGGCAGCAUACCGGCGGCGAUCUGACGCUGAGGCACGAAAGCGUGGGUAUCGAACAGGAUUAGAUACCCCUGUAGUC
RNAcentral lists this ribosomal RNA (440 nucleotides) under uncultured bacterium. RNAcentral's name for it is "partial 16S ribosomal RNA". It matches the Rfam family "Bacterial small subunit ribosomal RNA", at positions 338 to 795 of the family's 1533-position model. The record is from RNAcentral.